This is a long non-coding RNA of Zea mays, 708 nucleotides long. RefSeq lists it as uncharacterized. Lineage: Eukaryota; Viridiplantae; Streptophyta; Magnoliopsida; Poales; Poaceae. The record is from RefSeq and is a predicted model, not a curated record. The transcript is spliced from 3 exons.
ACUUUUCUUGGUUACUCGAGCAGCUUCUUCCUUCCCCGCAUUUUUUGCGUUCUAUAUAUACAACGCAUGUCUUCACGCAAUUAUACGGAGAAAAAAUCUUCUCCACUCGCCCCGCAACAGUGGGCUGGAGCAGCCUCACGUUGUUGCUUGACCGCGCCUCGACGAGUAGGGGAAAAAUUGGCUGCCGCAUGUAGGCCAACAUCUAUGCAGCACCCUUCGGAUGGAUGACACGUGUACGCUCAUAAAUCUCCACGAAACAUAAUGAAGAGCAUUUAUCUAGGCUUGUCUUUUCCUCUGGCUCGACUUACGGACGCCGGCUCUCUUUUUCUCAUCUGCGCGCAAGUUGUUUGAUCAAAUGCUCGAGAGAAAUUUGGAGUGCUGAUGGUGAUGAUACGGGAGGACGGAUGCAACCUGUCGCCGACCAAGGGAGAGAAGCAAGCCCGAAUUGUCUUCCCAUGUCCUCUUCUCCUACCAUGUCCUUGUGCCUUCUUCCUACCAUGGGAAGAGAUGGAUCGUGGCGAAGCGACGCAAGACAGCAGGAGAGUCAAUGAUCGGCGGCGGCGGCGACAGUACGUGAUUCACGAUUAUAGAUGAGAAAAAAAGAGUCAGCGUCUGUAGCGUCCGUUAGCCGAGCACCCGAGCCAGAGCAAAAUAAUCGGUCGUUUUGAGCCAAGAUGAAGGCUCCAUGUUUUGUUUCUUGGAGAUUUG